RNAcentral lists this unclassified non-coding RNA (383 nucleotides) under Leontopodium stracheyi. RNAcentral describes it as "partial contains external transcribed spacer and 18S ribosomal RNA". Lineage: Eukaryota; Viridiplantae; Streptophyta; Magnoliopsida; Asterales; Asteraceae. The record is from RNAcentral.
GCGCAACAACUUCCACCNGGCUUACCUUUUCAGUCUUGUGUCAUUGCUUGUAUCGCAUUGAAUGCAUGGUGGGUUUCUUGUGUUGCAUGCCUAAUUGAUGGUAUCAUUUCAAGAAUUGAUGUCCCUUUUCAUCUUGUGUCGCACAUGCGAUGUGAGAUGAACCUUGAAGUAGCCUUUGUGAUCCACUCUUUCGAUGUACACGCAUUGAUUUUGUGGCCCACUGUGUGUUGCUUGGUCUCAUGGAUAUGGAACCUGGUGUGGGCAUGGGAUCUUUACUAGUUCCUUGUUUGCCCUGGUUUAGCUUUUCUAAUACACGAUUGUUUAUCACAUUUUAUAAUGUGGUAGGCUAUAUCGGAUAUGAGUGCUACCUGGUUGAUCCUGCC